Non-coding RNA from Triticum urartu, 527 nucleotides. The record is from RefSeq and is a predicted model, not a curated record. NCBI's taxonomy places the organism in Eukaryota, Viridiplantae, Streptophyta, Magnoliopsida, Poales, Poaceae.
GAUUCUUAGGUGGGUUGGGCGCAGCAUGGCCCUUACCAAGCCUUUAGGAAUGAAAUGGUUCUCCAAGUUUUGUGGAGGCCACAUGCCUUUGAUUGUAUUCACUUUAUUAUUUUGCUUUUGUCUUCCUGCUAUUGCGUAUGUAGUUGUCUGCUAAUACUUCUAAGGCUUUAUUACACUCAAUAUCGGAUGUUGUCUUUCAUACGACUGAGACAUCAACAAAGCAAAUAACCUGAUUACAAGGUUCAGGGAGCUCCAACUUUUAUCUGACCAAAGAAAUCUUUCAAGCUAGAUUUUCUUUCAAGAUAACAAUAAAGUCUGGGAGCAUCCCUGUCCAUGGAACAACACUGGAGAUAUAGUGUUACUGUUACAUUUCUCAGUAUCCCUAGCUUGAUGCCUUGUGCGAUGAUGUUGCGGAUUUUGGAGCCCAUUAAUCUCCUAUUAGAUUGAUGUGAUCAUAAUAAUUCUUUUUUUAAUCACUGGUUGGUUUCAUGAAGCAGAGCAUAUUUUGUGGAUGGAUAAGUUGCUUA